This 398-nucleotide ribosomal RNA is filed under the name uncultured bacterium RSD15. RNAcentral's name for it is "bacterial SSU rRNA". It matches the Rfam family "Bacterial small subunit ribosomal RNA", at positions 975 to 1368 of the family's 1533-position model. The record is from RNAcentral.
CUAGGCUUGACAUGGGGGUGAAAUUCUGUAGAAAUAUAGAACCUUCCGCAAGGAACACCCUACACAGGUGCUGCAUGGUUGUCGUCAGCUCGUGUCGUGAGAUGUUAGGUUAAGUCCUGCAACGAGCGCAACCCUCGCCCUUAGUUGCUAACAGGUUAUGCUGAGAACUCUAAGGGGACCGCCUGGUUUAACCAGGAGGAAGGUGGGGAUGACGUCAAAUCCUCAUGGCCCUUACGCCUAGGGCUAGACACGUGCUACAAUGGUAGAUACAGCGGGACGCAAGCUGGUGACAGCAAGCCAAUCCCUUAAAAUCUAUCUCAGUUCGGAUUGAAGUCUGCAAUUCGACUUCAUGAAGCUGGAAUCGCUAGUAAUCGUGGAUCAGCAUGCCACGGUGAAUA